GUUUGACUUAUCAAAAUGUAUGAAUAGAAUUUUGCCUUGAGUUGCAUCGACAUGCAUCUUUUUAAUGUAUUCCGAAUACUGGUUUUGCAGCCAUUACUUGCAGGAUUCAUUGAUCAUAAUAAGCUCUAGAUUUUGCUUCAAUUGUUUCUUCUUAUAGUUCUUGCGUAGUAAGAGUACAACAUAAAUGAAUCAAUCGUCAAUUUCUGCUGAAAAACAAAGAAGUGAAUUUGGGAUUGUCAAGAGCGUAGAACUGAUACUCUGAUCCUCAUCUCAAACCUGCUAAGUUAUGUCACGAAAAAAAAAUUUAAUAAAAUUCUCACCCUGGCGGCAAGGCCCCAGCUCAACAUAUUGAACAAGGGAAAAUUCUACAACGCAUUGUAGUACUCCCUCAAUCACAUAGAAGUCAGUCCACCAUGAAAUAAAGGUCCACCCGACUUUUAUAUUAGUAAGGAAGCAUAACUAUAUCUCUUCGAC
This 474-nucleotide unclassified non-coding RNA is filed under the name Hevea brasiliensis (rubber tree). Lineage: Eukaryota; Viridiplantae; Streptophyta; Magnoliopsida; Malpighiales; Euphorbiaceae. The record is from RNAcentral.